UCCGAGUUCAGGGGAUAUAGGA
RNAcentral lists this non-coding RNA (22 nucleotides) under Rattus norvegicus (Norway rat). The record is from RNAcentral. Lineage: Eukaryota; Metazoa; Chordata; Mammalia; Rodentia; Muridae.